Molecule: ribosomal RNA, 517 nt
Filed under: Escherichia coli
Lineage: Bacteria; Pseudomonadati; Pseudomonadota; Gammaproteobacteria; Enterobacterales; Enterobacteriaceae
Description: partial 23S ribosomal RNA
Rfam family: Bacterial large subunit ribosomal RNA
Source: RNAcentral
CGAAUGCUGACAUAAGUAACGAUAAAGCGGGUGAAAAGCCCGCUCGCCGGAAGACCAAGGGUUCCUGUCCAACGUUAAUCGGGGCAGGGUGAGUCGACCCCUAAGGCGAGGCCGAAAGGCGUAGUCGAUGGGAAACAGGUUAAUAUUCCUGUACUUGGUGUUACUGCGAAGGGGGGACGGAGAAGGCUAUGUUGGCCGGGCGACGGUUGUCCCGGUUUAAGCGUGUAGGCUGGUUUUCCAGGCAAAUCCGGAAAAUCAAGGCUGAGGCGUGAUGACGAGGCACUACGGUGCUGAAGCAACAAAUGCCCUGCUUCCAGGAAAAGCCUCUAAGCAUCAGGUAACAUCAAAUCGUACCCCAAACCGACACAGGUGGUCAGGUAGAGAAUACCAAGGCGCUUGAGAGAACUCGGGUGAAGGAACUAGGCAAAAUGGUGCCGUAACUUCGGGAGAAGGCACGCUGAUAUGUAGGUGAAGUCCCUCGCGGAUGGAGCUGAAAUCAGUCGAAGAUACCAGCUGG